Molecule: non-coding RNA, 223 nt
Organism: Cinara cedri
Lineage: Eukaryota; Metazoa; Arthropoda; Insecta; Hemiptera; Aphididae
Source: the annotation of a GenBank genome assembly
AGUGCAAUAUCUUUGAGACACGCCUAAUGUACACGUAAUAGUAUAGAGGACGACGUUAUAAGCUUAACACGAUUUACUGCGGUGUAAUUUUAUUUAACACCCAUACGCGAUGCAAAUAACGUGAAUUGAUUUCACCCUUUUUUCAGUACGGGUUUACGGUUUAGAGUGUAAAACUGUGCAAGUUUACGUACACAGCAAACGGGAAUACCGAAGCGUUUGGAUC